UAAAUAGUUUCUCCGUUCGGAAUUACUCGUCUAAAAAAUGAAUGUAUCUAGAUGUAUUUUAGUUGUAGAUACAUUCAUUUUUAUCAUUUUUAUGACAAGUAAUUUCAAACGGAGGAAGUAAGCU
This is a non-coding RNA of Triticum aestivum (bread wheat), 124 nucleotides long. The record is from Rfam. NCBI's taxonomy places the organism in Eukaryota, Viridiplantae, Streptophyta, Magnoliopsida, Poales, Poaceae.